This is a long non-coding RNA of Scleropages formosus (Asian bonytongue), 760 nucleotides long. RefSeq lists it as uncharacterized. Lineage: Eukaryota; Metazoa; Chordata; Actinopteri; Osteoglossiformes; Osteoglossidae. The record is from RefSeq and is a predicted model, not a curated record. The transcript has 3 exons.
UAUGAUGGGGUUUUAAUGGCAGAAAUACAUUUCCAUCUACUAGCCGCUGGGUCCUAAUGUGGGAUCAAAUUGGUGGCAAUGAAGAGGUGACCAAAGAAAAAAUGACAAGGCAUUCUCGGUGUUAAGUACGCAGCAGCACAUUUGUUCUGAGGUUUAUUUUUUUAGUAUAAUACUGAUAAAAUGUAGAACAGCACAGUAUUUCAUAAGUUAUUUCAGGGAGAAAUUUGAAUAUUUUGUGAUAAUACUGUAUAAAUAAAAAAUGUAGAUACGGCAAUUAUACAAAAUACCAUCAGUAAAAAAGAACAUAAAAAACAGGGUCUGUAAUAUUUUCUGUCUUUGCAUAUCAUGGGGCAAUUAAAAUCAGAAAAUUUUUCCAGACAGUAUCAAUAUGACGUUGCAAAAUUGACGGUUAUAGCUAGAUAUUUAACUUGGCAACCCAUGCAACUGUGUUAUAAACAAGGAAAUCACUUUUGCAUUGCAAUGUUCUGAUUUUAACUCAAUAUAAUGAAGAAUACUGUUAUAUAUAGAGUAGGUUAGCACUGUCAGUACAAUUCAUUGCCAAUUGUCAUGUAAGCAAAAAGGGUGAAACACUAAAGAAAUCUUCAGAUACUAGCAUCAGAUGUUUCCUCAUAUAAACAAAUGUAAUUUGACUGAAAAAUACCAAAUACACUAUGCAAAAAUAGCCUGCAGCAGUGGUACCAUGCUAUAGAACACUUUUGUCUAAAUACGGUUCCAUUGCUUUUACAUUGGUUCAGAUGUU